Molecule: non-coding RNA, 153 nt
Filed under: Nereida ignava
Lineage: Bacteria; Pseudomonadati; Pseudomonadota; Alphaproteobacteria; Rhodobacterales; Roseobacteraceae
Description: Ruegeria cis2 sRNA
Rfam family: Ruegeria cis2 sRNA
About the family: Cis-encoded. Targets ABC transporter. Functions in transport.
Source: Rfam by way of RNAcentral
UCUGUGUAGCGCGGGUUGUAGUUCACAAACACAAAGCCACGGGCUUGGUCGAUUGUGUGAAAGAGUGGGUUCCAAUCGAACAUCGCCAACAUAAAGCUUGGCAACGUAUUGGCUACGAACAUCUUGCCUGAGGCGAUCAUGUUGGCACGGCUG